Molecule: ribosomal RNA, 2793 nt
Filed under: Enterobacter cloacae
Lineage: Bacteria; Pseudomonadati; Pseudomonadota; Gammaproteobacteria; Enterobacterales; Enterobacteriaceae
Description: bacterial LSU rRNA
Rfam family: Bacterial large subunit ribosomal RNA
Source: RNAcentral
UUAAGCGACUAAGCGUACACGGUGGAUGCCCUGGCAGUCAGAGGCGAUGAAGGACGUGCUAAUCUGCGAAAAGCGCCGGCGAGGUGAUAUGAACCUUUGACCCGGCGAUGUCCGAAUGGGGAAACCCAGUGCAAUCCGUUGCACUAUCGUUAACUGAAUACAUAGGUUAACGAGGCGAACCGGGGGAACUGAAACAUCUAAGUACCCCGAGGAAAAGAAAUCAACCGAGAUUCCCCCAGUAGCGGCGAGCGAACGGGGAGCAGCCCGGAGUCUGAAUCAGCUUGUGUGUUAGUGGAACGGUCUGGAAAGUCCGACGGUACAGGGUGAUAGUCCCGUACACGAAAGCACACUUGCUGUGAACUCGAAGAGUAGGGCGGGACACGUGGUAUCCUGUCUGAAUAUGGGGGGACCAUCCUCCAAGGCUAAAUACUCCUGACUGACCGAUAGUGAACCAGUACCGUGAGGGAAAGGCGAAAAGAACCCCGGCGAGGGGAGUGAAAAAGAACCUGAAACCGUGUACGUACAAGCAGUGGGAGCCUCUUUAUGGGGUGACUGCGUACCUUUUGUAUAAUGGGUCAGCGACUUAUAUUCUGUAGCAAGGUUAACCGUAUAGGGGAGCCGAAGGGAAACCGAGUCUUAACUGGGCGUUAAGUUGCAGGGUAUAGACCCGAAACCCGGUGAUCUAGCCAUGGGCAGGUUGAAGGUUGGGUAACACUAACUGGAGGACCGAACCGACUAAUGUUGAAAAAUUAGCGGAUGACCUGUGGCUGGGGGUGAAAGGCCAAUCAAACCGGGAGAUAGCUGGUUCUCCCCGAAAGCUAUUUAGGUAGCGCCUCGUGAACUCAUCUUCGGGGGUAGAGCACUGUUUCGGCUAGGGGGCCAUCCCGGCUUACCAACCCGAUGCAAACUACGAAUACCGAAGAAUGUUAUCACGGGAGACACACGGCGGGUGCUAACGUCCGUCGUGAAGAGGGAAACAACCCAGACCGCCAGCUAAGGUCCCAAAGUCAUGGUUAAGUGGGAAACGAUGUGGGAAGGCACAGACAGCCAGGAUGUUGGCUUAGAAGCAGCCAUCAUUUAAAGAAAGCGUAAUAGCUCACUGGUCGAGUCGGCCUGCGCGGAAGAUGUAACGGGGCUAAACCAUGCACCGAAGCUGCGGCAGCGACACUAUGUGUUGUUGGGUAGGGGAGCGUUCUGUAAGCCGUUGAAGGUGUGCUGUGAGGCAUGCUGGAGGUAUCAGAAGUGCGAAUGCUGACAUAAGUAACGAUAAAGCGGGUGAAAAGCCCGCUCGCCGGAAGACCAAGGGUUCCUGUCCAACGUUAAUCGGGGCAGGGUGAGUCGACCCCUAAGGCGAGGCCGAAAGGCGUAGUCGAUGGGAAACAGGUUAAUAUUCCUGUACUUGGUGUUACUGCGAAGGGGGGACGGAGAAGGCUAUGUCAGCCGGGCGACGGUUGUCCCGGUUUAAGCAUGUAGGCGGAGGUUCCAGGUAAAUCCGGUACCUUUUAACGCUGAGGUGUGAUGACGAGGCACUACGGUGCUGAAGUGAUAAAUGCCCUGCUUCCAGGAAAAGCCUCUAAGCAUCAGGUAACACGAAAUCGUACCCCAAACCGACACAGGUGGUCAGGUAGAGAAUACCAAGGCGCUUGAGAGAACUCGGGUGAAGGAACUAGGCAAAAUGGUGCCGUAACUUCGGGAGAAGGCACGCUGAUGUGUAGGUGAAGCCCCUGCGGGUGGAGCUGAAAUCAGUCGAAGAUACCAGCUGGCUGCAACUGUUUAUUAAAAACACAGCACUGUGCAAACACGAAAGUGGACGUAUACGGUGUGACGCCUGCCCGGUGCCGGAAGGUUAAUUGAUGGGGUUAGCGGCAACGCGAAGCUCUUGAUCGAAGCCCCGGUAAACGGCGGCCGUAACUAUAACGGUCCUAAGGUAGCGAAAUUCCUUGUCGGGUAAGUUCCGACCUGCACGAAUGGCGUAAUGAUGGCCAGGCUGUCUCCACCCGAGACUCAGUGAAAUUGAACUCGCUGUGAAGAUGCAGUGUACCCGCGGCAAGACGGAAAGACCCCGUGAACCUUUACUAUAGCUUGACACUGAACACUGGUCCUUGAUGUGUAGGAUAGGUGGGAGGCUUUGAAGCGUGGACGCCAGUCUGCGUGGAGCCAACCUUGAAAUACCACCCUUUAAUGGCUGGUGUUCUAACGUAGACCCGUAAUCCGGGUUGCGGACAGUGUCUGGUGGGUAGUUUGACUGGGGCGGUCUCCUCCCAAAGAGUAACGGAGGAGCACGAAGGUUGGCUAAUCCUGGUCGGACAUCAGGAGGUUAGUGCAAUGGCAUAAGCCAGCUUGACUGCGAGCGUGACGGCGCGAGCAGGUGCGAAAGCAGGUCAUAGUGAUCCGGUGGUUCUGAAUGGAAGGGCCAUCGCUCAACGGAUAAAAGGUACUCCGGGGAUAACAGGCUGAUACCGCCCAAGAGUUCAUAUCGACGGCGGUGUUUGGCACCUCGAUGUCGGCUCAUCACAUCCUGGGGCUGAAGUAGGUCCCAAGGGUAUGGCUGUUCGCCAUUUAAAGUGGUACGCGAGCUGGGUUUAGAACGUCGUGAGACAGUUCGGUCCCUAUCUGCCGUGGGCGCUGGAGAAUUGAGGGGGGCUGCUCCUAGUACGAGAGGACCGGAGUGGACGCAUCACUGGUGUUCGGGUUGUCAUGCCAAUGGCACUGCCCGGUAGCUAAAUGCGGAAGAGAUAAGUGCUGAAAGCAUCUAAGCACGAAACUUGCCCCGAGAUGAGUUCUCCCUGAGAC